AUUGAACGCUGGCGGCGCGCCUAACACAUGCAAGUCGAGCGGUAACAGGUGUAGCAAUACAUGCUGACGAGCGGCGGACGGGUGAGUAACGCUUGGGAAUCUGCCUAUUAGUGGGGGACAACCCGGGGAAACUCGGGCUAAUACCGCAUACGCUCUACGGAGGAAAGCCGGGGACCGCAAGGCCUGGCGCUAAUAGAUGAGCCCAAGUCGGAUUAGCUAGUUGGUAGGGUAANGGCCUACCAAGGCGACGAUCCGUAACUGGUCUGAGAGGACGACCAGUCACACCGGAACUGAGACACGGUCCGGACUCCUACGGGAGGCAGCAGUGGGGAAUAUUGGACAAUGGGCGAAAGCCUGAUCCAGCGACGCCGCGUGGGUGAAGAAGGCCUGCGGGUUGUAAAGCCCUUUCAGUGGGGAAGAAAAGCCUCGACCUAACACGUCGGGGUCUUGACGUAACCCAUAGAAGAAGCACCGGCUAACUCUGUGCCAGCAGCCGCGGUAAG
RNAcentral lists this ribosomal RNA (503 nucleotides) under uncultured bacterium. RNAcentral describes it as "bacterial SSU rRNA". It matches the Rfam family "Bacterial small subunit ribosomal RNA", at positions 29 to 524 of the family's 1533-position model. The record is from RNAcentral.